This 240-nucleotide long non-coding RNA is filed under the name Homo sapiens (human). Its description in RNAcentral is "HSALNT0069795". Lineage: Eukaryota; Metazoa; Chordata; Mammalia; Primates; Hominidae. The record is from RNAcentral.
AAAGAAAGAGAUAGUUGUCCCUGCCCUGUUAGUACCACAUUCUGAGGAACUAUCCAUAUCCUGCUGGCUAUAUUCUACAGUGACAUCAGAGAAAGGGAUGGAAAGCUCACGAUAAACACAUUUUCCCUUUGGUACAUAUCUGCCUAUGAUGAAGAGAACAGCAGAGAUGGCUACAAACACCUUUCAUCGAAUUCAUUACUGUAGGGCUUAAUUUUUCUAGCCCUAACCAGGAUGAUGCCA